GGCCUCGUAGCUCAGCUGGUAGAGCGUGUGCUGUAAAAAAGCGUAGGCGGCGUCCAUGCAUGGGUUCCAGUCCCACUGAGGCUA
RNAcentral lists this transfer RNA (84 nucleotides) under Echinostoma caproni. It matches the Rfam family "tRNA". From Rfam's summary of the family: Transfer RNA (tRNA) molecules are approximately 80 nucleotides in length. The record is from Rfam by way of RNAcentral. Lineage: Eukaryota; Metazoa; Platyhelminthes; Trematoda; Plagiorchiida; Echinostomatidae.